RNAcentral lists this ribosomal RNA (253 nucleotides) under uncultured bacterium. RNAcentral describes it as "partial 16S ribosomal RNA". It matches the Rfam family "Bacterial small subunit ribosomal RNA", at positions 524 to 776 of the family's 1533-position model. The record is from RNAcentral.
UACGAAGGGGGCUAGCGUUGUUCGGAAUUAUUGGGCGUAAAGAGCUCGUAGGCGGUUUGUCGCGUCUGCUGUGAAAACCCGAGGCUCAACCUCGGGCCUGCAGUGGGUACGGGCAGACUAGAGUGCGGUAGGGGAGAUUGGAAUUCCUGGUGUAGCGGUGGAAUGCGCAGAUAUCAGGAGGAACACCAAUGGCGAAGGCAGAUCUCUGGGCCGUAACUGACGCUGAGGAGCGAAAGCAUGGGGAGCGAACAGG